Molecule: ribosomal RNA, 163 nt
Filed under: Senega brasiliensis
Lineage: Eukaryota; Viridiplantae; Streptophyta; Magnoliopsida; Fabales; Polygalaceae
Description: Polygala brasiliensis 5.8S ribosomal RNA
Rfam family: 5.8S ribosomal RNA
About the family: 5.8S ribosomal RNA (5.8S rRNA) is a component of the large subunit of the eukaryotic ribosome. It is transcribed by RNA polymerase I as part of the 45S precursor that also contains 18S and 28S rRNA. Functionally, it is thought that 5.8S rRNA may be involved in ribosome translocation.
Source: RNAcentral
AAACGACUCUCGGCAACGGAUAUCUCGGCUCUCGCAUCGAUGAAGAACGUAGCGAAAUGCGAUACUUGGUGUGAAUUGCAGAAUCCCGUGAACCAUCGAGUCUUUGAACGCAAGUUGCGCCCGACGCCUUUUGGCUGAGGGCACGUCUGCCUGGGUGUCACGC